RNAcentral lists this ribosomal RNA (497 nucleotides) under uncultured bacterium. Its description in RNAcentral is "partial 16S ribosomal RNA". It matches the Rfam family "Bacterial small subunit ribosomal RNA", at positions 28 to 507 of the family's 1533-position model. The record is from RNAcentral.
GAUGAACGCUGGCGGCGUGCCUAAUACAUGCCAGUCGAGCGAACACACGAGGAGCUUUCUCCCCUGACGUUAGCGGCGGACGGGUGAGUAACACGUGGAUAACCUACCUAUAAAACUGGGAUCACUUCGGGAAACCGGAGCUAAUACUUGCUCAUAUUUCGAACCGCAUGGUUCAAUAGUUAAAGCCGGUUUUCCCGUCACUUAUAGCUGCUUUCGCGCCGCAUUAGCUAGUUGGUAAGGUAACGGCUUACCAAGGCAACGAUGCGUAGCUGACCUGAGAGGCUGAUAGGCCACACUGGAACUAAGCCACGGUCAAGACUCCUACGGGAGGCAGCAGUAGGGAAUCUUCCGCAAUGGGCGAAAGCCUGACGGAGCAACGCCGCGUGAGUGAUGAAGGUCUUCGGAUCGUAAAACUCUGUUAUUAGGGAAGAACAAAUGUGUAAGUAACUAUGCACGUCUUGACGGUACCUAAUCAGAAAGCCACGGCUAACUACGUG